Molecule: ribosomal RNA, 253 nt
Filed under: uncultured bacterium
Lineage: Bacteria
Description: partial 16S ribosomal RNA
Rfam family: Bacterial small subunit ribosomal RNA
Source: RNAcentral
GACGAACCGUGCGAACGUUGUUCGGAAUCACUGGGCUUAAAGGGCGCGUAGGCGGGCUCGCAAGUCAGGGGUGAAAGCCCGCGGCUCAACCGCGGAAGCGCCUUUGAUACUGCGGGCCUCGAGGGGGGUAGGGGCGUGCGGAACUUCCGGUGGAGCGGUGAAAUGCGUAGAUAUCGGAAGGAACACCGGUGGCGAAAGCGGCGCGCUGGACCUCUUCUGACGCUGAGGCGCGAAAGCCAGGGGAGCAAACGGG